This 253-nucleotide ribosomal RNA is filed under the name uncultured bacterium. Its description in RNAcentral is "partial 16S ribosomal RNA". It matches the Rfam family "Bacterial small subunit ribosomal RNA", at positions 524 to 776 of the family's 1533-position model. The record is from RNAcentral.
UACGAAGGGUGCAAGCGUUACUCGGAAUUACUGGGCGUAAAGGGUGCGUAGGUGGCUGUUUAAGUCUGUUGUGAAAGCCCCGGGCUCAACCUGGGAAUGGCAAUGGAUACUGGACAGCUAGAGUGCGGUAGAGGGUAGUGGAAUUCCCGGUGUAGCAGUGAAAUGCGUAGAGAUCGGGAGGAACACCAGUGGCGAAGGCGGCUACCUGGACCAGCACUGACACUGAAGCACGAAAGCGUGGGGAGCAAACAGG